UACGAAGGGUGCAAACGUUAUUCGGAAUCACUGGGCGUAAAGGGUGCGUAGACGGCUUAUUAAGUUCGUUGUUAAAGGCUCCGGCCCAACCGGAGUAUUGCGAUGAAAACUGGUAAACUAGAGGAUGAGAGAGAGAAGUGGAAUUCCCGGAGUAGCGGUAAAAUGCGUGGAUCUCGGGAGGAACACCAAUGGCGAAGGCAGCCACCUGGCAUAAUACUGACGCUGAGGCGCGAAAGCAUGGGGAGCGAACAGG
RNAcentral lists this ribosomal RNA (253 nucleotides) under uncultured bacterium. RNAcentral's name for it is "partial 16S ribosomal RNA". It matches the Rfam family "Bacterial small subunit ribosomal RNA", at positions 524 to 776 of the family's 1533-position model. The record is from RNAcentral.